RNAcentral lists this long non-coding RNA (1046 nucleotides) under Sorghum bicolor (sorghum). RNAcentral describes it as "long non-coding RNA (SBIC_LNC015186)". The record is from RNAcentral. Lineage: Eukaryota; Viridiplantae; Streptophyta; Magnoliopsida; Poales; Poaceae.
AAUGAACUAGAUCUGCGUUGCAAACAAGAAACACUAGAACUUCUUUAAUAAAAGAAGAAAAGGGAUAAAAUCUCUAAAAAAAACAAAGUCAAGAAGCAGUGGGCCUUCUCUAGGAUUAAUUUUUUUUUCUAUUUUUAAACACCGAUUUCGUAUUUUCUAUAUAAAAAAUUCCACAGACGGUUGACAUAAAUGAACCGUGUCUGUGGAAAUGCAUUUUCACUAACGGUUCUCAGUUAUGCGCCUGUGGAAAAAUUUAUUUCCACAGGCACCCAACAUAGGCGGUUCGCCAAUCCAUCUGUGGAAACGAGUUGAGAACCGCCUAUGCAGUGGUUUCUGUAUACUAGUGUAAAAAAAAAAUAAAGUCAAGAAGCAGUUAAAAAAUCAUCGUGAGCAUGCAUGCAUGGCUAGCAUGAAAGUCACGAUGAACUUGCGAGGCACACGAAAGCAUCAUGUUCCGCACCUGCUGAAGUAUCACACAAUACUUAUCAACUAUUCAACCAUCACUACUACAAUAAUCUUUACCGAGGCAAGCAAGAUCAAUUAACCGAGGCGAUUUUCGCAACCGCCUCGGAUCAAAGGUCAUAGCAAAUGACCUAUUUUCGAGGCGGUUUAUUGUCCGCCUCGGUUAAUCAAAUAAAAAAGAAAAAAAAUCCUUGAACAAGCCCGAUGAGCCCAUCGACGUGCCGCCAUCACCGCUGGUGCUCGCCGAUGAGACCUUUGGACCUGCUUGUCUGUCACGGUCGCAUUGAAUAUGGGGGGAAGAGACACUUGGAGGGGAGGGGAAUAGCCUAUCGGAGAAGAGGCAGCCGGCCUAGAUCCCGUCAUCAUCCCUCGUCGGAUCCGGUCUUCCUUUGUUGGAUGCACCUCCCACCCACUGGGUCUGGAGCUCAACGUGGAGGAUCUCGCCGGAUCCACCACCUGCCUGCCGGAGGGAGCUCAUUGGAGGUUGGGGCAUCGAGUGGGAAGGAACGAGCCGCCGCCACUCAGAAGGAAGGGAGGUAGGCAUAGCCGCCGCUACUCAGAAGGGAGGAAGCCGCCGUCGUUGC